CAACUACUCCCUCCGUUGGGAAUUACUUGUGGAUAAAAAUGGAUGUAUCUACAACUAAAAUACAUCUAGAUACAUUCAUUUCUUGGACGAGUAAUUCCGAACGGAGGAAGUAGUCA
Molecule: non-coding RNA, 116 nt
Organism: Triticum aestivum (bread wheat)
Lineage: Eukaryota; Viridiplantae; Streptophyta; Magnoliopsida; Poales; Poaceae
Source: Rfam